Molecule: non-coding RNA, 147 nt
Organism: Homo sapiens (human)
Lineage: Eukaryota; Metazoa; Chordata; Mammalia; Primates; Hominidae
Rfam family: Metazoan signal recognition particle RNA
About the family: The signal recognition particle (SRP) is a universally conserved ribonucleoprotein. It is involved in the co-translational targeting of proteins to membranes. The eukaryotic SRP consists of a 300-nucleotide 7S RNA and six proteins: SRPs 72, 68, 54, 19, 14, and 9.
Source: Rfam
GCUGGGCAUGGUGGCAUGUGCCUGUAAUCCUAGCUAGUGAGGAGGCUGAGGCAGGAAGAUCACUUGAGCCCAGGAGGUUUAGGCUUCAGUGAGCCAUGAUUGUGCCACUGCAGUCCAGCCUGGGCUACAGAGUGGACCCUGUCUUUU